AAUAUUGUACAAUGGGGGCAACCCUGAUCCAGCCAUGCCGCGUGUGUGAAGAAGGUCUUCGGAUUGUAAAGCAAUGUAAGUUGGGAGGAAGGGCUUUAGGUUAAUACCCUGAAGAUUGGACGUUACCACCAGAAUAAGCACCGGCUAACACGGUGCCAGCAGCCGCGGUAAGACAGAGGGUGCACGCGUUAAGCGAACUUACUGGGUGGAAAGCGCGCGUAGGUGGUGCAGUAAGAUGGGUGGGAAAUCCCCGGGCUUAACCUGGGAACUGCUUUCAUAACUGCUGAGCUAGAGUACGGUAGAGGGUAGUGUAAUUUCCUGUGUAGCGGUGAAAUGCGUAGAUAUAGGAAGGAACACCAGUGGCGAAGGCGACUACCUGGACUGAUACUGACACUGAGGUGCGAGAGCGUGGGGAGCAAAC
RNAcentral lists this ribosomal RNA (421 nucleotides) under uncultured bacterium. Its description in RNAcentral is "partial 16S ribosomal RNA". It matches the Rfam family "Bacterial small subunit ribosomal RNA", at positions 360 to 773 of the family's 1533-position model. The record is from RNAcentral.